AGAACUGAUAUUCCGACAGGUGGAAUGAGGGAGUAACGCCCCGAAACGCCUGACUUGAUACUGCGGUAUGCUGUAAUUAUUACAAUGUAAUUAUGGUGUAAAGUCCGCUGAAGUCGGCAGAAGUUUGCCCAAACGGGUUAAGCCGUGGCAAGUGUCCCAGAGGUGGGAUAUGCAGAUGAUAUGCCGGAGGUCUAUAAA
Molecule: non-coding RNA, 198 nt
Filed under: uncultured Ruminococcus sp.
Lineage: Bacteria; Bacillati; Bacillota; Clostridia; Eubacteriales; Oscillospiraceae
Source: RNAcentral